This 301-nucleotide ribosomal RNA is filed under the name uncultured bacterium. Its description in RNAcentral is "partial 16S ribosomal RNA". It matches the Rfam family "Bacterial small subunit ribosomal RNA", at positions 509 to 807 of the family's 1533-position model. The record is from RNAcentral.
CAGUAGCCGCGGGAAAACGAGGGGAGCUAGCGUUGUUCGGAAUUACUGGGCGUAAAGCGCGCGUAGGCGGCUUUUUAAGUCAGAGGUGAAAGCCCGGGGCUCAACCCCGGAAUUGCCUUUGAAACUGGAAAGCUAGAAUCUUGGAGAGGUCAGCGGAAUUCCGAGUGUAGAGGUGUAAUUCGUAGAUAUUCGGAAGAACACCAGUGGCGAAGGCGACUGACUGGACAAGUAUUGACGCUGAGGUGCGAAAGCGUGGGGAGCAAACAGGAUUAGAUACCCCCGUAGUCCCUGUCUCUUAUAC